This 350-nucleotide unclassified non-coding RNA is filed under the name soil metagenome. RNAcentral describes it as "partial contains 5.8S ribosomal RNA, internal transcribed spacer 2, and large subunit ribosomal RNA". The stretch from base 1 to 120 matches the Rfam family "5.8S ribosomal RNA", at positions 35 to 154 of the family's 154-position model. The record is from RNAcentral.
GAUGAAGAACGUAGCGAAAUGCGAUAAGUAAUGUGAAUUGCAGAAUUCAGUGAAUCAUCGAAUCUUUGAACGCACAUUGCGCCCGCCAGUAUUCUGGCGGGCAUGCCUGUCUGAGCGUCAUUUCAACCCUCACGCCCCUAGGGCGUGGUGUUGGGGAUCGGCCAAGGCCCGCAAGGGACGGCCGGCCCCUAAAUCUAGUGGCGGACCCAUCGUGGCCUCCCCUGCGAAGUAGUAAUAUAUUCCGCAUCGGAUAGCGAUGAGCCCCUGCCGUUAAACCCCCAACUCUUUCAAGGUUGACCUCAGAUCAGGUAGGAAUACCCGCUGAACUUAAGCAUACAAUAAGCGGAGGA